This is a long non-coding RNA of Daucus carota subsp. sativus, 1916 nucleotides long. RefSeq lists it as uncharacterized. The transcript is spliced from 3 exons. The record is from RefSeq and is a predicted model, not a curated record. NCBI's taxonomy places the organism in Eukaryota, Viridiplantae, Streptophyta, Magnoliopsida, Apiales, Apiaceae.
GUAGCGUUACUGGUAUGCAAAAAGCAUACCCUAUAUAUAACCAUGCAACAUCGUCCUAAAAUCGCUUCUUCAAUUACUCUCUGGUCUCCACGCUUCACAAAUCAAAUGCAGAAUUUUGUUAAAAAGGCUUAGUGGCAAGACUAUUACUACUGUAUUUUCUCUCGAGGUCGAAAAUUCUGUACGACGGAUAAUGCUAAGGCUAAGAUCCAGGAAAAGGAGGGGAUCCCUCAGGAUCAGCAGAGGUUGACCUUUGAUGGAAAACAGCUGGAGGAUCGAUGAAUCUUCGCUUGAUUAUAAGAUUGAGAAGAUAUCGACUCUGCAUUUUGGGUUCUUCGGCUUGGAAGAGGAUGCAGAUCUUUGUUAUUGAGACUCUGACAGGCAAGACUAUUACUCUCGAGGUUGAGAGCUCGGACAUAAUUGAUAAUGUUAAGGAUAAGGAAAGGGUUCCCUGGACUAGCAGAGGCUGAUAUUUGCUGCUAAUCAGGUUGAGGAUGGUCAUACUUUGGCGGAUUAUAAUAUCCAGAAGAAAUCUACUCUUCCUUCUUCGACUCCUUGGUGGAAUGCAAAUUUUUGUGAAAACCCUUACUGGUGGGACCAUUGUGUUGGAGGUUGAGAGCUCCGAUACUAUCAAUAAUGUCAAGGCUCAGAUACAAGAUAAGGGUGAUAUUUGCAGACAAGCAGCUUGAGGAUGGUCAUAUAGUAGCGGAUUUCAACAUCCAAAAGGAGUCAACACUUUACUUGAUUCUUCAUCUUCGUGGUGGAAUGCAAAUUUCUGUGAAGACAAUUAAUGGAAAGACGAUUACACUUGAGGUAAAGAGCUCAGAUACCAUUGAUAAUGUGAAGGCAAAGAUUCAGGACAAGGAGGGGAGAUCUCCAAAUCAGCAAAGGCUUAUUUUUGCUGGGAAGCAGUUGGAGGAUGGAAGAACUUUGGCAGACUAUAAUAUCCAGAAGGAGUCUACUCUUCACCUCGUCCUCCGUCUCCGUGGUGGUUUAUCAAGUUUGAGUUCAGCGUCUUGAUCUCUGGUCUGUAUAAACAACUGUUCAAUCUUUCUGUUGUUUUCUCCUUUUGUCAAGUGAACUAAUAUUUGCAUGACAAUGAUUAUAUUUGGUUUUAAUGGAGUGUACUACAACUUUUCUAAGUGAUAAAUCUAUGUUCAGUUAGAUCACUAGCUGAUAUAUAUUAAAUAAGCAGCAAUCAUCUGUUGUCUACAUAAUUUCUUCAUUAUGCAGAAUGAGUUUUUAUUAAUCUAAAUACUUCUGUUCUUACAGUUAAACAAUUAGGGUACUGAAAUUUCUCAAUUCUCACACCUUUGUGUUAUUCUUAGUUCAUUAUGUUCUGCAUGACUAAACAGAGUUGAAAGCUAAUAUCGGGAUUGUACUUGUCAAAUUUGUUAAUCCUCUUGACUAGUAGAUGGUUUUUUGUCCUUCAGUCACAUGUAUUGUCGAAAAUAAUGUUGAUGCAGAGAUUUGUGGAUUGCAUUUUAGAUAUCUUGCCUAGAAGGCUUGAAGGUGUGUUCACCUGUUCUAUCAGUUAAUGUUUCUUGAUAGAAGUUUUUGUAUAUAAUAACUUUGUCUGAAGAAAAUCUCUUACUAUGGUUAAUUUCAUUGUGUUUUGUUUGUAAUUUUGCAGAUUUAAAGUACAGAAGGCAUUUAGUUCUUUGUUUCAAAAGAUACAGAUGGGCAUAUAAUGUUCUGGGGAAGGAAACAUGCAUUUGAAUGAACAGCGAAAGAACAAGCAUAUUUUAACACAAGGAAUAGAAGGUGAUGUCCAGGUGGAUUUAACACUUCAGCACUUGUUUAUGAUUAUAAGAAAUUCUAGUAGAUUAGUAGAUCGUCUGUAAUAACGAUUCACUUCCAUAAAUAAUGAGUUUGCAUGAACAACUUAUCAAAGUGUAAACAAUCUGACUACCCAGUCA